GGAGAGGUAGCUCAAUGGUUAAAGAGCACUGGCUGCUCUUCCAGAGGACCUGGGUUUAAUUCCCAGCAACCACA
Molecule: non-coding RNA, 74 nt
Organism: Rattus norvegicus (Norway rat)
Lineage: Eukaryota; Metazoa; Chordata; Mammalia; Rodentia; Muridae
Source: Rfam